RNAcentral lists this ribosomal RNA (890 nucleotides) under uncultured bacterium. Its description in RNAcentral is "bacterial SSU rRNA". It matches the Rfam family "Bacterial small subunit ribosomal RNA", at positions 505 to 1399 of the family's 1533-position model. The record is from RNAcentral.
GUGUCAGCAGCCGCGCCGGUUAAACGUAAGGGGGGCGAGCGUUAUCCGGAUUUACUGGGCCGUAAAGCGCGUGCAGGCGGCCUUGGUAGGUUGGACGUGAAAGCUCUUGGCUCAACUGAGAGAGGUCGUUCAAUACCGCCAAGCUUGAGGGCGGAAGAGGGGAGCGGAAUUUCCCGGUGUAGUGGUGGAAUGCGUAGAUAUCGGGAGGAACACCCGUGGCGAAGGCGGCUCCCUGGUCCGCACCUGACGCUGAGACGCGAAAGCGUGGGGAGCGAACGGGAUUAGAUACCCCGGUAGUCCACGCCGUAAACGAUGGAUGCUAGGUGUAGGUGGUAUUGACCCCAUCUGUGCCGUAGCUAACGCGUUAAGCAUCCCGCCUGGGGACUACGGCCGCAAGGUUAAAACUCAAAGGAAUUGACGGGGGCCCGCACAAGCAGCGGAGCGUGUGGUUUAAUUCGAAGCAACGCGAAGAACCUUACCUGGGCUUGACAUGCACGUAGUAGUGAAGCGAAAGUGGAACGACCCUUCGGGGAGCGUGCACAGGUGCUGCAUGGCUGUCGUCAGCUCGUGUCGUGAGAUGUUGGGUUAAGUCCCGCAACGAGCGCAACCCUCGCUGUUAGUUACAUGUGUCUAACGGGACUGCCGGAAUAAAACCGGAGGAAGGUGGGGAUGACGUCAAGUCAGCAUGGCCUUUAUGUCCAGGGCUACACACACGCUACAAUGGUCGGUACAAUGGGCUGCCACACCGCGAGGUGGAGCUAAUCCUAAAAGCCGGCCUCAGUUCAGAUUGCAGUCUGCAACUCGACUGCAUGAAGGUGGAGUUGCUAGUAACCGCGCGUCAGCAAUAGUGCGGUGAAUACGUUCCCGGGCCUUGCACACACCGCCCGUCA